CCAUAGAGCGUGCCGGGGGGGAAAACCAGUCACUCGUAUAAAACCGUAGACCGAGUCACGGCUCGAGUCAGUUUCGCUCGCGCCUCGCGUGUGUUUCGGUUCGCGUUUCUACUCGUCCGAGCGAGUACCAGAGUACCCCCCGAAGUCGGUCAGUGAAUUCCAAACAGUGAGUUCUCGUGAACGUCGUGAACUCGUGAUUUGUCGCCUGCCUGUCCACAGCCAAAGUUGGCCAAAUUCAUCAUCAAGUUUGACGAGGCUUUCGUCACACGGCGAAGAGAGGUGAAGUUGAGAAAUCGAUGAGAAUCGAAGGAGGAACGACGAACGAGCCUCUGUUGUUAUCGUCAUUAUUUUAUCAUGGUCGGCAAGAGAGAUCACCGAUUUGAUACGUAAUAUACGCCGUGAUAUUCGUCGAUCCUCGAGCGGUUUCUUUCGUCAGCGACUUUCUCGGAGCAAUAACAUCGGUUGGCGAGAAAAUUAGAGAGAAAAUUGGGAGCAAGAGACCAAGACGAAGGUGACGGAAGACACAGCACUUUCCCGGAGGUGGGAAGGUCAGAGGUCGGAAAAGUGCGAGUCACGAGAGAGUUUUUCAAUUAACGUCGCGGAUCGUCGCGUGGAGACUAACCUCGCGGGCGACUAGCGUUCGAUCGGAAGCGUUCCGGUCUGAUCGACCGGAAGCGUCGAACGUCAUCCUCCUCGUGCCGCGUGUACGUGCAACGAGUCCGAGUCUGCGAGUGAAAAAAAAAAAGAAAAAAAAGAAAGAAAGAAAGAAACCUCGCUGGGAAUGAUUUAAUUAAACGAACUGGCGAGUAAACUCGAGAGAUAGCGAGUGGCAGCUCCUCGAACGGAGCCAGCAGUUUCCACCGCCGCGAUAACCAAGUUUCCAACCGGCGAAACGGCCAGAGGAGGGGGGGGGAAGAUCCUUCCAGGGAACUCGGAGUGAAGCGCUGGCUUGGAAAAGCGAUUAUCGAACCGGCCUGCCUAUUAAUUACCGGAAUUGCACAGGGAAUUUCCGCGUGGCGCGCGGUAUCGAGGUGGAAGCGAAAUAAAGAAGAGGAGGACGACUUCACGGUUCGCCGAGAGAGACGCGAUCUCGCCGAUUCACGACGACGUUUGCUCGCGGAAUAGAAAAAGCACUUGGCGAGGUUUCGACGGAGAAAUUUGUUUGCCGCGAGAGAGAGAGAAGACGACCAAAGUGGAUUUUGCUCGAGCGUGUAUACGUGUUUGAUACGUGGUGGUGUUUCGAGAAGUGAAGGAGGUGGUGGAGAAGCCGUCGAACGACAAAGUUAUUAGCGAGAAGAGCGUCGUUUCUAGCGGAGGCACGGUGUGAGAAAGAGUGUUAAUCAGCGACGGCGGCGGCGGUGGCGGCGGGAGGAUAUAAUGGCGGUUCGUUGAGAGCUGGUACACACGGAGGGAAGGUCACGACGUUCGUUCACUCAGACGACCUGGUAUGACGUGACGAGAGGAGAACGCUUUGGUGCACUUCCAUCGGCGAGUAUUCCACAAAGGAAAUCCAUCAUGAGAGCGUCUCGAGUAGCUGCGCUGCUGUUGAUCCUCUGUUACGCCAUCGAAAGGGAAGCUGAAGGGGUGACUGAAGGGGUUGUUGCAAUGAGGACCGAGCAUUAUUUUUGAAUAAUCUUAGUAAAUCGAUAGAAAAGGAAUUAAAGAUCAGACAGG
Long non-coding RNA from Frieseomelitta varia, 1674 nucleotides. RefSeq lists it as uncharacterized. The record is from RefSeq and is a predicted model, not a curated record. The transcript has 3 exons. NCBI's taxonomy places the organism in Eukaryota, Metazoa, Arthropoda, Insecta, Hymenoptera, Apidae.